UACACGGCUCGUAUCUGAACGAUAAGCGUCGGCAAAACAAUUGGGACGGGGCUACCGGUGGGGACCCGGCGUUGCAGAUCUGGACAACGGCGCGGAGAGACACGGCGGUUACAGGUUCACGCGGCGGCCUUGGCUUCGACGGAGACAGAACCGGCUGAGACGGUUGGGCAGUGGCGGAAGAGCAACGGCGCCGCAGAUCUGGACUGGCAGCGGCGGUCUUGCUUCGCGGCGGGGCUGCAGACGGAAGAAGAAAAUGGAAGGAAAGGAUCGGCGGCUGGCUGCGGUUGGCUGCGGCGAACGGAGAGAAGGGGAAGGUGGGUGGGAGUCACGAUCGCACGGGGAAGAAGAAGGGAGAAAAGAAAAGAAAAAGAAAAAAAAGAAAAAAUAAUAAAGAAAUUUUUAAUAUUAAAGUAAAAAAAAUAAUAUAUAUAUAUAUAUAUUACCUUUUCUUUGGGCAUUACAUUCUUCCCUCCUUAAGAAACUUUCGUCCUCGAAAGUUUAAUCCUGAAAUAACUCUGGAUAACGAGUCCUCAUCUCUUCCUCUCGCUCCCAUGUCGCCUCUUCAUUCGAUGAUUCCGCCACAAAACUUUUACUAAUGGAAUGCUUCUAUUACGAAGCAUCUUUACCUCUCUAGCCAGAAUUCCACAGGUUGUUCUACAUAGCUCAAAUGCUCAUCAAUCUCCAAGGGUUCAUAGUCCACUACAUGAGAUGUAUCGGCCACAUACUUCCUCAACAUCGAAACAUGGAAAACAUUAUGAACUGCAGAGAGUGAUGGUGGUAAUGCCAAGCGAUACGCCACAACACCAACCCUCUCUAAGAUCUCAAAUGGUCCAACAAAACGAGGACUUAACUUCCUUUCUUCUCAAAACGCAUAACACCCUUCAUAGGUGCUACCUUCAAGAAUACCUUUUCUCCCACAUCGAACUUAAGGUCUUUUCGCCGUACAUCUGCAUAACUCUUCUGUCUACUCUGCGCUGUUUGCAUACGCGUCUAAUCUUUUGAAUAGCCUCAUUAGUAGACCGAACUAAUUCAGGUCCCAUCAAUCUAUGUUCACCAACCUCACUCCAACAAACAGGGGUUCUACAACAUUUGCCAUACAAAGCCUCAAAUGGUGCCAUACCGAUGGUAGCCUGGAAACUGUUGUUAUAAGCAAACUCCAUCAAAUGUAGAUGAGAGUCCCAACUACCUGGAAACUCUAUAACACAAGCUCGUAGCAUAUCCUCUAAAACUUGGUUCAAACGUUCAGUUUGACCAUCAGUCUGUGGAUGAAAGGCUGUACUAAAAUCCAAUCUCGUACCCAUAGCAGUCUGAAGUCCCUUCCAAAACUUGGAAGUAAACCGUGCAUCCCUAUCAGAAACAAUCGAUACAGGCACUCCAUGCAGUCUCACAAUCUCAGUUAAAUACAACUCUGCCCACUUACUAGCAGUAUAAGUGGAUUUCCUGGUACAAAAUGUGCCGAUUUCGUAAGCCUGUCUAUGACAACCAAAUCACUGUGAAACCCUUCAGGGUUCAGGUUUAGGCAGCCCUGAAAUAAAAUCCAUCGACACAUUCUCCCACUUCCACUCUGGCACACUUAAGGUUGUAACAAACCUGCUGUUUCUGUCUAGGUGCUUAACCUGCUAGCACACCAAGCACUUACUAACAAGAUUUCCAUUUCUCUCUUCAUAUUACGCUAGUAACAAACUCUUUUCAGAUCCGGAUACAUUUUUGUGCUACUUGGAUGCAUGAGAAAUGGGAAACUAUGAGUCUCAACCAAUAACCUUGUCUUAAUUGCAUUUUCUGUUGGCACACAAUUCUCUCUCAAACAUAAGUUCAUCAUCAAAGGAUAUGGAAAACUCCUUAACUUGCCCUACUUCUACUAGGUGAUGCUUCUCAAUCAAAUAAGGAUCAAUGAAUUGAACCACAAGAAUUCUUUGUCUCAAGAUCGGAUGUACUGACAACUGAGCUAACUGUGAGGUGACUUCCCCCACUGAAACUACAAUCUCAGCUCUCUCGUGGUUUUUGUCUAAUGAAACCUGUCUGGUAAUAAGUGCUGUCAAAAUGUGAUACUUUUCUACGAAGAGCACCAACUUCCACAUUCGCCUUACCUAGAUGGUACAAAAUCUCACAAUCAUAGUCAUUUACUAACUGAAACCAUCUUUGCUAUCUCAUACUCAACUUCUUUUGAGUGAAGAAGUAUUUUAUACUCUUUUGGUUAGAAAAUAUCUAUAUCUUUUCAUCAUACAUAUAGUGCCUUCAAAUCAUUAAUGUAAAAACCACAACUGUCAAUUCCAUAUCAUAAGUUGGACAAUUUUCCUCAUGACUCUUCAACUGACGAGGAGUACAAGCAACUACUUUAACUUGUUGAAUCGAAUACCUUUUAAACUUUCCUAAAAGCAUCACUAUAAAUUACGAAACUUUCUGAACCAUCAUGUACGGUAAGCACGGGAGUUGUACAAGCUUCGCUUAAGAUCCUGAACACUAUCCUCAUAGGCUUUGUCCCAAACAAACGGAGUCCCUUUUCUUAGUUAACUGAGUCAAAGGAGUAGCUAUACGAGAAAAUUCUUAUACAAACCGUCAGUAAUAACCUGCUGAACCCAAAAAGACUACGAACCUCACUGACUAUGAAAGGUUGAGGCCAACUGGUAACGACUUCAAUCUUUUAUGAGAUCCACAUAAAUGUCAUCUCUAGAUACCACAUGGCUUGGAAAGAUACUUGGCCUCAUCCAAAACUCACAUUUUGAAAACUUUGCAUACAAUUUGUUGACUCGAAGAGCCUCUAAAACCAUGUUAAAUGCUCCUCAUGCGCUGUCUCUAUUUUGGAAUAAAUUAAGAUAUCGUCAAUAAAUACAAUCACGAAAGUGUCUAAGAGAUCGUUAAACACUUUGUUCAUCAAGUCGUAAACAUUGUUUGAGCAUUUGCCAACUCAAAAGACAUCAUAAUGAACUCAUGAUGUCCAUAUCUCGAACGAAAAUCUGCCUUAGGAAUGUCACUGUUCUCUAAUCCUCAACAAGUCAUAACCUGAAUGUAAUUCAAUCUUAAAGAACACGGACUUAUUGCAGUUGAUCAAACAAAUCCUCAUUCAUUGGUAAAAGAUAUUUAUUCUUAACCGACACCUUAUUCAACUUUCUACAAUCAAAACAUAAGUGCAUCGACCCAUCUUUCUUCUUAAUAAACAAAAAUUGGUGCACCCCAAGAUAACAUACUUCGUCGAAUGUAGUCCUUGUCAAACAUUUCUUUCAAUUGCACCUUCAAAUCUUUCAACUCUGUUGGGCCAUUUUGUAUGAAGCUUUAGAUAUAGGAACGAGUCUAACUCUAUCUCAAUAGCAAGACCAAUUUCUGUUUAGCGGUAAUCUUAGAAACUCUUCUAGAAAAAUAUCAUAAUACUUUUUCACCACUGAUUCAAAUAACAAAGAAACAUCGACUUCUCUGGUGUCUACCACACUAGUCAAAUACAACAGGUACCCUGGUCAAGCAACUUACUAACCUUCAUAGCUGGGAUAACUUUUAGCGAAACGAUAGUUCCAACCUCUUUGUACUUGAAACUAGCCUCUGGAGAAGGAUUAGAAACUACAUUUUCGCUGAACAUUUUAUGUUUACAUGGUUAAACUACAUUCCAAUUUUCAAACUCCAAACUAGUAACUUUUCAUUCACGAGAAACUCAAAAUUGUUUCUUAAAGUCACAUCAAGACAACCAUGCUCAUCUUCCUUGUUUCUUUUCCAAUACCUCCAUUCUAAAACCAUUUAAUGUGUUUCGUAUAAACUUGACCGUGUAUUUAGUCCUCGUUAAAACCACCUACAUAACUUAUUUUUCUUAGAUUUCCAAUCACAAAACAGACAAUUUCGCUAACAACGUCUUACUUUUCUACUACUCGACCACUCCUUUGAACACCUCUACAUGGCAACAUUUUUCCUAAAUUUCACCAUUAAAUCCUUCACCAUUAAAUCAUAACAUUCAUGUAAUUCUAGUUUAACUUAGGCAAGGUCAUAUACAUAAACCAUACAUAUAAGCAUAAAGCAUACCUGACGAGAGACGAAGGGUCGCGUUAGCCAUAGGGACACAAAAACAUAGACUUACAUCGUAAGUCAGUCUACAGAACCUAAAACUUAGGCUCUGAUACCAACUGUAACGACCCAACUUUUCUGGUAAGUCGAGGUCGUUAAUUUUUAACAAAAACUUUGAUUGAUACAAAUUGAAAAUAGUCAAUUUAAAAAAAAACAUGUCAGGCCUGAUUUUCAAAUAUUCAAGAAAACUUAACAAUAACACUAUUUACAAAUAAAAGUUUGUAAACUAAGUUUUAGUACAUCUUAAACCUUAAAAGAAAUCAUAAGCGGAAGCAAAAUAACACAUUCCUAUGGCAAUCACGCUUCCUUCCUGCCCCUCGCCGGUUUGCCACCUUUAUUUCCUUUGCCUGAAAAUUAAACAUAAGAAGGGUGAGUAUAACAAUACUCAGUAAGAGACCCUCUACUGGUCUCGUCAGGGGAAAAUAAAUUGUUAAAGUUCUAUUGGGACACCCUGUACAGUCGCAGUCUUGUGAUCCCGUAGGAUACACAUUUCAGUCUAACGCCCCGAAGGACGUACAUAUCAGUCUAACGCCCCGAGGGACGUACAUAUCAGUCUAGUGUUCUGCAGAAACACAUAUCAGUCAAAUGCUCCCGAAGGUGCACAAUAAAUUGGUGAUCCCGUGGGACACCUACAAGGUAAACAUCCCAAUACAACCUAACAAUUUAUCCCCUCAUUCCAUUCAACCCAUCUUUCAGUUACUUCAAAUCACAAAGUCCUUUCUUUCAACAUCCUAACAGUCAACUUAUUUUACUACAAUCAUGUCUGUCAAUAAUACUAAUACAUCAGUCAAUCCACUAUACAGUCAAGUCAAUACACCCCUCAGUUCACCAGCACAAACCACAAUUCAGUAUAAUCCACAUCCAACCGAAACAAAUUCACUAGUUCACAUCCAAUCUUUAUACAGCACAAUCUAUUAAUAUCAUCAUGUACACAUAAGCAUAAUUUCAGUCAUUCACAUGUAUACUUUCGGCAAUCCACAUCAAUGUAUAUAUAUAUGUUUCCAGUCAAAUACAACAUACACUAACAUUUAGUCUGCAAUCAAACAUGUACAUCUUAAUCAUCAUCCAUACAGUCCAACACAACUCAAAAACUUUAGGUGAGUCCAGUAGAAAGUCCCUUACCUCGAAUUUACGUAAAGUUCUUCAAUCGUACUAAAUCCAAUAAAUUAAAUUCCAAGUAGAAUGAGGCAACAAUUCCAAUGAAGUUCACUUCGAAACUUAAAUAUCCAAGCACAGCUCUCCAAUAUCACCUUAAAAUCAAGCAAUACCCAAAUCAAUUAAUCAAUUUCAAAACUUACGCUAGCCCAGAACAAUACUACUAAAUCCACAAUUCCUCCUUACCAAUGAAAUCACAACAUAGCUUUGACGAUUGACGACAGAACAGAAUCAGCGACAAUCGAAUGAAACUGAUGCGUGCAAAACAGAUAUGCACUACAAUAAAGAUGGACGUCGGACCCGCGACUGGAAAACGAGGAGUUGCGCAAUAGAUGAGGACUUCACGAUGCACAACUGUUGGAUGCUACACGGCUCGUAUCUGAACGAUAAGCGUCGGCAAAACAAUUGGGACGGGGCUACGGUGGGGACCCGGCGUUGCAGAUCUGGACAACGGCGCGGAGAGACACGGCGGUUACAGGUUCACGCGGCGGCCUUGACUUCGACGGAGACAGAACCGGCUGAGACGGUUGGGCAGUGGCGGAAGAGCAACGGCGCCGCAGAUCUGGACUGGCAGCGGCGCGGUCUUGCUUCGCGGCGGGGCUGCAGACGGAAGAAGAAAAUGGAAGGAAAGGAUCGGCGGCUGGCUGCGGUUGGCUGCGGCGAACGGAGAGAAGGGGAAGGUGGGGGGAGUCACGAUCGCACGGGGAGAAGAAGGGAGAAAAGAAAAGAAAAAGAAAAAAAAAAAAGAAAAAUAAUAAAGAAAUUUUUAAUAUUAAGUAAAAAUAAAAUAUAUAUAUAUAUAUAUAUAUAUAUAUAUAUAUAUAUAUAUAUAUAUAUAUAUAUAUAUUUACCUUUUCUUUGGGCAUUACAGAUACUCCUAACCAAUUUGAAUAGAAAAGCUAACCAAAUUGUCCUAUGCGUCAAAUUAAUGCAAAUUAAAUCGAUGAAAUGUAUACAACGUCCAAUAUUUUGCCGUAAUUGCAUUACAAUAAGCGCUAAGUUAGGUUGAAAGCCUAUUUUUCAUGCGGCUAAUUAAACAUUCAUCAAGUUCAAUAUUGUAAGUCGAUUGGAAAAAUACAAGAUCUAAGAGAUUUUUUCAAGCUAACCUAACUUAUUUCUUCUAACUGAAUUACAUACAACUUACCAAAAAAUUGCACAUGAUAAAAAAGCGUUCACCAUAACGCUUUCAUUCAUCUGACAAUACGAACAUGAUAAUUAAAAACAAAAUUUAAACUAUCGAUGUAUUAAACUCAAUUCAAAUCUCACAAAUGCAUGGAUUAAAGGGAUACUACAAACUCAAGAUAAUAAAAGAGUACCUAGUUAUUGAUUGAUUAUGGUUGUUGAUCGAUUUGUUUGUAGAUGGUAAAUUUGUUGGAUAAUAUAAAACAUAAAGUAAAAAAAAAAAUCGUAAACUCAUCUAACCUCUCAAUCUCUCUAAUCUCUUUCAAAAUCUCUUUCAAAAUCUCUCUCUCAAUCUAUCUUGUCAUUCCAUAGAAUAUUUAGCUAAUCUUGAUCAAGUUCUCACGCAAUUCAAUAAGUUUACUUUUUAGUUUUUUGUUAUUUUUUUCUCCAAAUUCUGUUAUGUAUAGUUUUUUUUUUUAUAUCCUCCUCUCUUGGUGUAAUAUUUAAAUCUUAAAUGUAUAAACCCAGUUAUCUAAUUUUUAAUUGUUUCAAAUUGAUUUGGAGUUGUUUAAAACUUAAUUAUUAGCAAGUUUGUUUCUUACUUUUUUUCAUCUCGGAAACAUCUCGCAGACAUUCGCAGAUUCUUAAGUUCAAAUGUUUAAUCUCAAAUGAAUAAUAUACUUGUGCUUAUGUGAUUUAGGAUGCUUUUAUACAUGUUUAGGAAAUUUUAGUUAUUGUUUAGGAAAUUUUUUUUGCUUGCAAACAUCUCGCAACCUCCAAACUUUAAAUCACUACUACAAAAUUAGCCUUACUUGAAACCUUUUACCUAUCAAGUAUUUGUUUACUUGAUGUUUUAAAUGCGUCAAGUAAUCUAGUGCAAGAAUAAGAGUUUUUUUCUUUACAAUUUUUAAGCGUCAAGAUAAAAUGUGCUUGACACUUUAUUAACGUCAAGUAUAUAUGAGAUUAGUUGACAAUUUUACGUAUCAAGAAUUUGUUUAUUCUUCCAUGUGUUAUUUGUCAAGAAUAUUUAAUUCUUGACACAUUUUUUUUGUGAUGUAAGUUUUUCUUUUUCAAAUGAAAAUUGUACAAUUUAAAACACUCAUAUAAUUAGUGCACCUGUUUUGAAAUUCAUAUUAGUUAUUGAACAAUUGAAUCAACCCAAAUUCUCCAUCAAAGAACUAACUUGUUUUGAAGUUUAUAUAAUUAUUGCACAUACUUUUGAGUCCAUAUUAGGUUGUCAUUGCAUAUUGUUCAAUAUACAUAUAGUUGGUCACAACGUACUUACAACAUCCCAAGUUUCUACCAUAUGAAGAAAUUGUUCUACCUAGCUCUACGUUUAAUCUGAACAAAAUAUAUCAAUCAAUGACUGUACACACCUAGGCUUGAGUCUGAGUUUCUCGAUCAAAAGUGGACUUGUUGGGUGAAGUACAACUUUCUGGACGUAGUAAAAACCUCGGCAAUCUGCCAAUGAAAUAAUACAAUGUUGAGACACGUGGUUGUUGUCUUAAGAGUGCACUAAGCAAAAAUGAGAAGUGAAAAUGUACAUCUAGAUAAAAUGACAACAUUUUCAUAUAAACACGAAAACUACUCAGCAAUGAACUUAAGUGAACCAAUAAAUGAAAUUGGAUGUGUGAAACUAGAAAACAACCAGAAUAUCAAGUGAUAUUAAAUGAAAAUAAAUUAAAAAGACAAAAUUUUAAUCCAUAAAUUUUGUUAAGGAUCCCGUACAUAUUUAAAAUAUCAACCAAAACUCACAAAUUUCACACCUUCAUUUUUUCCUAAAACUGUUUUUUUUUUUUUUUUUACUGUAUGUUUUAUAUGGCUUUCUUUUUUCCUUUUUAAGUUGUAUUAAUUUAGGGCCUCUAAAUAAAAAUAUAUUUUGUUUUAUACUUGACGUUAAAAAAAUAUGAACUAAAAGUGAAUAUUACUCUUGAUAUUUUUAACAUGUCAAGUAAAUAUUAACCACACUUGAUAUUUAAUAUUUAUGAAAUGUCAUGUAAUAGUUAGCAUAAAAAAGUUUAGAAAUGUAUCCGUGAAAUCUCUACUUCUUUUAACGAGUUGUUGGACAUUUUUUUCUUUAAAAUGUUGGUAAAAUAUGGCUUUGUACUUGGAAUAUUUAGAAAGGAACAUCACGAAAUUAGAAGUUUCAUAUUAUUUAAGCCAAAAUACGUACAAAUACAUAUGUAAAACCGAGUUUAAAAAAUCAACCAAUAUUUUGAAAUAGUAAAACUUUCCAAACUAAACUUUGACAUUUAAUUCAUAUAACGUAUGGAAGUUGUUAAAAUCAUUACUAUUUUUCCCAAAUGAAAACAAAUUCAUGCAUGGUGUUUAGUUUAGUUAUAGAAAUCUUUACUAUUUUUACAUAAAUGAAACAGAUUAAUGCAUGGUUGCAAUUUAAUUUAGCUUUUACGACCUUAUUUGAAUAGGAUCUGUUCUAUAGGUUGUACAUUGUGUCCUUGAGUUUAAAGAGAUUUAAUGCAACUUUUAGUAUUUAAACCAUUGAAAAUCAUAGAAUUUCUAUCACCCUAACUCUUAACAAAACAAUAGUUUGGAAAUUUGCAUAUCUUAAGAAUAUGACUUCUUCCCGUAUCAUCUGCUUUGCUCUUAUUUUUGCAGGUUCUUUUUCUCUAAUUUCCUCCACAAAUACUAUAUUACCAUGUGUUACAAAAUCAAUUAACCAUUACAACAUAUUAGAUUGCUAAUUUGUCUACCUGUAUAUUUACCUUUUUAUGUUUUUUUAUAUAGUUGCAUUGAUGUUGGUGCUUCAAGACGUCUCAGCUGCCCAAAGAUGUCAAGACGUUUUGUAUAAUACUGGGUGCGAUCUCAAUGACUGUGGAAAGAAAUGUUGGGAGAAGCAUCAUACUGUUUCACAUCAAUGCAUUCCAACUAAUCCUUCUCAAACCAUCUAUGCUUGUUAUUGUUUCUUUGAUUGCGGUGGUCAAAAGAAUUGAUCUGCAUGCUCACAUCUUCUCAAUUUUAUGUAAUGUACUUAGUCACUUAAACUUCUAAAUAAUAUCACACAUCUUUCCUAAUCUUCAACUGUGUUACAACAAUUUGAUGUCUUGAAUACAAGAUUCCAUGAGCUAAAAUUCUUGUAACAAAUAAGUAUAUUUUUCAUGGAUUACCUUUCCUACGACAUAUUUCAAAAUUUACGACUUUGUAUCAAGUACCCUAAUAUUAGGGUUCAAAAUUAAUUAAAGAAUGAAACCAACUAUAAAUCUUUCACGACCAUAUUGUUUUUAAGUAUCUUCAAUGAAAACUAACUUUUUCUAAAAUAACCUAUAAUGGCGCAUAAGAACAAAACAUUUAUACAAAAAUGAUAAUAAAAUUUGUAGUCCCCACAAAACCAUCUUCAAAUAAAAUAAAGUUUGUAAUUCAUCGAACUCAAGAACUAUUAUAAUUACUACUAAAAUACACGAAAAUUAAAGAAAAAAAAAUAGCCUACUGUCGAUUAUUGAAAGAGUGGUUGGAGGUUAAAGGUGUGUGUGAGGACUGGAUGCUAUGUCACUUGAUGAAUAGAUCCAAACGUGGCGAAUGAACAACGGAACAAAAGAAUAACAGAUCUUGCAUGAUGAGCGAACAACAGAAGGCAGAUUUGCAUGCUCUGAGCGUGAUGGAUGGGUAGCUUUAGGCGUUCGAGUAGUGGGGGUUUCAUGGAGACUUGCUUUGUUCAUGAAAGUGCAGUGAGAUGGAGUUAUUUGGGAAAUAUACACCCUCUCCCCCCAGUGACACACACACAUUCUUAUUUCAAACUCCACAAACGUAAAUAUAUUAAUGCAUUUACUAAAGUCAAUUUAUAAGUAUCCACACUCAAUUUAAGAAAAUGGAAAAUAUGCUUUCAGCAAUAUCCUCCCCUCACACACCAUCAAUCUAUACCAUGCUUUAAACAAAUCUAAGAAUAUAAAUAAUAAAAUGGCUCCAACAAUACACCAACAGUAAACACAACUCAUUGUCGAGUAUCCCACAAACUCUUAAUACGACACAAAUGGACAGUAUGGAACGCAUAGCGAAACAUCUAAACUACUAUUAGUAAAAUAAACAUUUUAUACUCAGCCUCAAAUAUGGCUACCAAAUAGUACCAUACCCAUCAACAACAACAUCCCAGUGCAAUAUUCAAGCUCAAAUACCAUUUCAAUACACCAUGUAAUUGACUUAAACAUUUUAAGGCUUCUUGAAAAUUGAAUUUAUAAACUUCAAUAACAAUGCUAAACUCUUUAGUAAGUAAUUAUAUUAAGUUGAAAAUUUGCAACAAUCUCAAAUAAUUGUCACUCUUGCAUUUCAUGAGAAUUAUUGAUGCGCCAGCUAUGUUUCAUAAAUGUUAAUGAUAAUAUAAAAGAAGAAAAAGUUUUGAAUGAAACAUAAACAAUAAAGUUUUAUAAAAAAAUGGCAACCAAUCACUCUUCAUAGGUGCUUAUCACCCGACUGAAAUAACAACUAGUUCAAAAAUACUUAUUGCAAAAGAGGUUUGAGAGCAAAGAAUGAAAAAAAGUAAACUAAAUCUUAACCAAAAGAGUUUGGGUCUUUGUUGAAAUGAGCGUGAAACUAGUCUAGACCUAAAAUCUAUAGUUUAAAUGGUAAAAAACCAAAAGCAGACCAAGUUACUUAAACUCGGGUCUUUGGUUGGAGACGAAGUCUAUUUUCAUGUAAUUACGGGUUUGCUAAGUGUCUAUAAAACUUAUGUUUAAGUUUGUCAGUGAAUGGGUUGCAUUGCAACUUUGUCUAUCAGUUAUGUUAUUGGCUUCCGUUUGCGUUUUUGUUAAAGGUUAGUAGUUAAGGGUCAGCCGGUGUCGUUCAAAAGGGGGGCUAUAUCUGUUCACUUCACGUUGUCUAUUGGAUCAAGAGAAGGUUAUCCAAGAGAGAGUGUGACACUAUGAGGCCUUAAUCACAGCCUGCCGCAUGCGAAAAGACUUUAUACGAAGUGACGACCUAUGCUAUAAGAACUACUACAUGGUGAAGAGUGACUUCACAGAGUGCGUUGAUGUGUUUUGAGCCUAAGUCAUCGAGAACUAGUGAUAUUCAUUUUCACGUAUGGAAGUUGGCGAUUGAUUUGACCUCGAUGUCCAAUCCAAAUCCAGAAUAAGGAAAUGACAGAGACACGUGGCAUCCUAACAUUAGAUUGGACCAAUUCCCGCCGUCUUCAGAAGUAAUCAUUCUAACAUAGGAAACUUCACCGAAAAAGUCUAUGAAUAGGUCAAUUUUGAUCCUUUUGAAGCUACUUUUACCCUGAGCUUACUUAAGAAAAAAUAGAGAGAACUUCCAAAGUUUUUCGGAGAUCUUAAACAAGCUUGAACUCAGUUUGAAAGUGCAAGGGAGCUUGUGGGUAGCAACUAGUUAUUGUGACUGUGUGAGUGGUUCUUCUUAUGCAAUGUUUUCUAAUUAAAAUCAAAAUGAUUUUUAAAAUGUGUUUAAAUCCUUAUUUGAUUUAUACUUAAACUAUGAACAACAUGGUUUCUCUUGUACUUUAUACGACCAAGUGAUAAAUAAAGACAAAAUUAAAACUAUCGGUGUAUUUAACUCAAUUCAAAUCUCACAAAUGCAUGGAUUAAAGAGAGAUACUACAAACUCAAGCUAAGAAAAGAGUACCUAGUUAUUGGUUGAUUAUGGUAUGUUGAUUAAUUUGUUUGUAGAUCGUAAAUUUGUUGCAUAAUAAUCUGUAAUAAGAGAAGUAUAAAAUUUGUGAGAUUGGUUGAUAUUUUAAAUAUGUACAGGAUCCUUAACAAAAUUUAAGGAUUAAGAGUUUGUGUUUUUAAUUUAUUUUCAUUUAAUAUCACUCAGACUGUUCUGACACGUUGUUUUCUAGUUUCACAUCCAAUUUCUUUUAUUGGUUGACUUAAGUUCAUCGCUGAAUAGUUUUUCUUGUGUGUAUAUGAAAAUGUUGCCAUUUAUACCUUUAUUUGAGCGUGGUCCUAAUAUAUUGACUUGAUGGACAGCUAAAACCUUUAAAAUUCCAUAACUCUUUCUUUGGGUGGUAUUGUUAUGGACUUUAUGGAUAACUGUAAAAUCUUCAUAGCGCAGUUUUUGAGUGGUUUGUCUCUAACGAACUUGACGAAGUUGAUCAUAGUGUGGACUACAUGUGAAGUCUUCCUAGCUUAGUGUUUGAGUGUCUAUUGCAAUAAACUUUAUGAAGCCAUACACAUAAAUGUGAAGGUGUGGUUGCCUUCCUUGAAAGAAUUUAAGGUCUUUCUUUCUAGAUCUUUCAUAGUGACCUACAGUUUAUGUGCAUGACCUUAAAUAGCACGUGGUUUACAAUUGUACCACAUAAUGUAGACAAACACAAGACAUGAAACGUGUUGUCCUACUUCACUAUGCAUGGAUCCAAAUUGAAAGAUAUUGAUGUUUAAUUUUAUACUCUUUUUUAUAAGAGAAAUUGUUUAUUAAUGUUUUCAUUCAAAUGUCAGUCAUUCAGGGGGAUUGUUGGGCAUGACUUUACUUUACAAUGAUUUGUUCGAUUGUUGUGACGGUUGUAAUGUUAGAAAUCUAAUUAAAUUUUGUUUUCAUGGAUACAAAUCUGGUAACCAUUAAAUCGUGGUAAGUAUAAUAUUUUAAAAUCGCUCAAAAUUACAUAUUUAAAAUUAAUUAUAGAUCUAAAAGUAUUUAUUUCAAUUUUCUUCCAAAUAUUCUUUAUCUUUUAAAGAAAAUUAAGAGAUAUAUUUUUCUCAGUUUCCCAUACUUUUUAUUUUCUUUAAGCAAAAGGUUUUUCUUUGAUUCGAACUCUUUUCGAAUGAGUGCUCGUUUGUUAAGAACGUUGUCAUAAACUUUGGGGAGCAACUGGCGUGAGAUUAUUAGCACCGAGAGAUUGAUUAUAUUUUUCAGUUUCUUGGAUUUUGGUUGCACUCCUACAAUUUAGUAUUAAUUUACCCAACACGUAAAGUGUUUUCUACUUCAAAAAUAAAAUUUACCACUAUUUAGUUCCUUUCAUACAUGUUUUUCUAAAAAAUGCAAAGUUGACAUCAGUUAUUUUAAAUGCCAUAACAACCUCAAGAACCGUAAACGUCCCACCCUACAACAGUAAUAAAAAGGUUAUGGGUCAUUGAUUAACCAGAAAGGUAGAAUUAUUGUUAUAACAAGAGGGAUAUUAAAGUAUGUUACAUGAUAACAAUUUGAAAUGGAGAGGUAAUAUAUGGGUACGUACGUAACAUAAAUGGAGAGAUAAUAUAUGGUUACAUGAAUAUUAGCAUGAAACAACCACAACUAACUACUUUUUUCUGUUUAUUUCAAUAAAACCAUAUAUGUUAAUAAUGGAAAUCUAUUUGUUUUUAUUUUUCAUUUUUAGUACACAGCUUCAAGUUUAGUCCUAAAAUGUCGUAUGAAAUUUUAUGAAUCCUUAUCUUUCUUUUCUUAACGAUGGAAUCUCAAUGAAUUAAUAAAUAUUCUGGUCCUACGUACAUUUGUAUUUAAACCAUAUCAAACCUCCAUGUUUUUGCAAUUCACUCAACAAAAUCAAGCUUGCACUCGCACCAAAAAGAUGGCAAACCUUUCUUCUUUCCGUGUCGCCAUCAUUAUAGUUAUCUUUGCAGGUUCUCUUCUACAUAUGAAUUGAAUUAUAUAUUUUUAUAUGAGUAAGCUAAGUUAUUAUGAAGAUAUAUUCAUUGACAUGCAUAAUGGUUGAUUAUUUUAUUUACUCAUGUGAUCGUGCAGUUUCAAUGAUUUUGGUACCUCAAGGAACCUCAGCUACGAAAUGUCAAGAUAGAUUGUAUGUUGGGGGGUGCAUACAACAUGAAUGUGCGCAAAAAUGUAGUCAGCUACACCAUGGUGGCACAGCUAAAUGCAUAUCUGUUGAUCCUACGUUUACCAAGUAUGCUUGUUAUUGCUUCUAUAAUUGUCCUGAAAAUUGAAUUUUCAGAUGUCUCUCUCUAUUAUUCAUCGUUUUGGACACAUAUAUUUCAAAUAAUGUUAUAAAAAAAAACGUUCUAUCCAAAGUUAUUUGCCCCACAUGAAUGCACUUUUCUCUUAAUUAAUGUUAUCUACAUACAACACAUAAAAUGUUUUGUUGUGAUCAUGACUUCACAUAUAUUUGAAUCUUUACGUUGCUACCAACAUAGUUUGUGGGUGAUGCUGUAAACACUCCAACUUUUAAUAAAUGACUUAUUGUGUAAAGUUAAAACAUUUGAAAAUUUAUUUCAAACGCACCCUUUAUUGAAUAAGCUAAAAGAAUAAUAGUCCUUCAAACUAUAUCUAAAUAAAAUUAAGUGAGCUUUUGUAUGGAUUCAAAGUGAAAAAAUAAUAGUAACAAAAGGAUGACAAAGUACACAAUGUUGAUUUUGCUAACUAUAUCGAUUAGUGUGAUGAGCGUGAUAGAUAUAGAUAAUUGUAAGACUAUUGAUCAAAAGAAAUAUAUAAAACUUCAACUUAUAAAAAUUUAUUUCUACAAAAGGCCGGUAGUGAAAGUUGUAAGAUCGAGUGUCAAUCCAAGCGGAAUCCAUGCAAAGUUUCUUAGAAUUGUAAAAUGCAAAAGUAAAGCAAUAAUUACUUCUUUUUUUUUUAUAUAUGAUAAUACAAACUGUUAAAGAUUCUAUCAAUCAAAAGACCUUAUUAAAUAAGUGAAGUAAUGAUUUUAUAGAUAAAAUCAGUUCAACAGUUUGAACCUCAUAACCAUAUAUAAGAAAAUGCGGGUGCAGUGUGUAGCAUUUGGGUACCGGGAGCUUGCUUGUCUUAAUUAAAGGUUGAAACAUAAUAAUUUCAUUUACAUUUCAUAAUAAUUAAAGGUCUUGAGAGGUUGCUCGCCUUAAAUUGAAGUUAAAAUAUGAGAUAUGUAUCGAUUCAAAUAAACUGUGAACCUUUUCAGUUCGCAUCACUCUCUAUAUAAACUUUUAUGUUGCUUUUUUGUAUGUUUGUACUAAGUUAAAGUUAGGUUCAACAUCAUCCACGCUCAUCCACUUCCAUGUCAUCCAUUGCAUUCCACUCCUGAUGUCACCUAAGUCUAGAUCAAUCAUUUUAACCGAAUUACACAUCAAUUAGAGCUAGCUAGUCCUAGUGGCAAGUCCUAGUCGAACGCAAGGAGCACGUAAAUUUCUCUAGCACAUUAGUUUCAACCCAAGGUAACAAAAGGAAGGGGUCGAUUGAACAAUUAAAAAUAAAAUUUGAAAAGAUAAAUAAAUUAAAAGUGUAAAUCAAUUUAAGAAAACUUAGCAUGGGUUUUGUAGAUCUCCCGAAUCAUUGUAUUUGAACUUUGAAUUCUCAUUAUUGAAUUUAACAAUUGAUACUGUAACGACCCAACUUUUCUGGGUAAGUCGAGGUCGUUAAUUUUUAAAAUUAAACUUUGAUUGAUACAAAUUGAAACAUAUGUCAAUUUAAAAACAAAACAUGUCAGGCCUGAUUUUCAAAUAUUCAAGAAAACUUAACAAUAACACUAUUUACAAAUAAAAGUUUGUAAACUAAGUUUUAGUACAUCUUAAACCUUAAAAGAAAUCAUAAGCGGAAGCAAAAUAACACAUUCCCUAUGGCAAUCACGCUUCCUUCCUGCCCCUCGCCGGUUUGCCACCUUUAUUUCCUUGCCUGACAAUUAAACAUAAGAAGGGUGAGUAUAACAAUACUCAGUAAGAGACCCUCUACUGGUCUCGUCAGGGGAAAAUAAAUUGUUAAAGUUCUAUUGGGACACCCUGUACAGUCCAGUCUUGUGAUCCCGUAGGAUACACAUUUCAGUCUAACGCCCCGAAGGACGUACAUAUCAGUCUAACGCCCCGAGGGACGUACAUAUCAGUCUAACCCCGAGGGACGUACAUAUCAGUCUAGUGUUCUGCAGAAACACAUAUCAGUCAAAUGCUCCCGAAGGUGCACAAUAAAUUGGUGAUCCCGUGGGACACCUACAAGGUAAACAUCCCAAUACAACCUAACAAUUUAUCCCUCAUUCCAUUCAACCCAUCUUUCAGUUACUUCAAAUCACAAAGUCCUUUCUUUCAACAUCCUAACAGUCAACUUAUUUUACUACAAUCAUCUGUCUGUCAAUAAUACUAAUACAUCAGUCAAUCCACUAUACAGUCAAGUCAAUACACCCCUCAGUUCACCAGCACAAACCACAAUUCAGUAUAAUCCACAUCCAACCGAAACAAAUUCACUAGUUCACAUCCAAUCUUUAUACAGCACAAUCUAUUAAUAUCAUCAUGUACACAUAAGCAUAAUUUCAGUCAUUCACAUGUAUACUUUCGGCAAUCCACAUCAAUGUAUAUAUAUAUGUUUCCAGUCAAAUACAACAUACACUAACAUUUAGUCUGCAAUCAAACAUGUACAUCUUAAUCAUCGUCCAUACAGUCCAACACAACUCAAAACUUUAGGUGAGUCCAGUAGAAAGUCCCUUACCUCGAGUUUACGUAAAGUUCUUCAAUCGUACUAAAUCCAAUAAAUUAAAUUCCAAGUAGAAUGAGGCAACAAUUCCAAUGAAGUUCACUUCGAAACUUAAAUAUCCAAGCACAGCUCUCCAAUAUCACCUUAAAAUCAAGCAAUACCCAAAUCAAUUAAUCAAUUUCAAAACUUACGCUAGCCCAGAACAAUACUACUAAAUCCACAAUUCCUCCUUACCAAUGAAAUCACAACAUAGCUUUGACGAUUGACGACAGAACAGAAUCAGCGACAAUCGAAUGAAACUGAUGCGUGCAAAACAGAUAUGCACUACAAUAAAGAUGGACGUCGGACCCGCGAUUGGAAAACGAGGAGUUGCGCAAUAGAUGAGGACUUCACGAUGCACAACUGUUGGAUGCUACACGGCUCGUAUCUGAACGAUAAGCGUCGGCAAAACAAUUGGGACGGGCUACCGGUGGGGACCCGGCGUUGCAGAUCUGGACAACGGCGCGGAGAGACACGGCGGUUACAGGUUCACGCGGCGGCCUUGGCUUCGACGGAGACAGAACCGGCUGAGACGGUUGGGCAGUGGCGGAAGAGCAACGGCGCCGCAGAUCUGGACUGGCAGCGGCGCGGUCUUGCUUCGGCGGGGCUGCAGACGGAAGAAGAAAAUGGAAGGAAAGGAUCGGCGGCUGGCUGCGGUUGGCUGCGGCGAACGGAGAGAAGGGGAAGGUGGGUGGGAGUCACGAUCGCACGGGGAAGAAGAAGGGAGAAAAGAAAAGAAAAAGAAAAAAAAAAAGAAAAAUAAUAAAGAAAUUUUUAAUAUUAAAGUAAAAAUAAAAUAUAUAUAUAUAUAUAUAUUACCUUUUCUUUGGGCAUUACAUUCUUCCCUCCUUAAGAAACUUUCGUCCUCGAAAGUUUAAUCCUGAAAUAACUCUGGAUAACGAGUCCUCAUUCUUCCUCUCGCUCCCAUGUCGCCUCUUCCAUUCGAUGAUUCCGCCACAAAACUUUUACUAAUGGAAUGCUUCUAUUACGAAGCAUCUUUACCUCUCUAGCCAGAAUUUCCACAGGUUGUUCUACGUAGCUCAAAUGCUCAUCAAUCUCCAAGGGUUCAUAGUCCACUACAUGAGAUGUAUCGGCCACAUACUUCCUCAACAUCGAAACAUGGAAAACAUUAUGAACUGCAGAGAGUGAUGGUGGUAAUGCCAAGCGAUACGCCACAACACCAACCCUCUCUAAGAUCUCAAAUGGUCCAACAAAACGAGGACUUAACUUCCCUUUCUUCUCAAAACGCAUAACACCCUUCAUAGGUGCUACCUUCAAGAAUACCUUUUCUCCCACAUCGAACUUAAGGUCUUUUCGCCGUACAUCUGCAUAACUCUUCUGUCUACUCUGCG
This 17993-nucleotide long non-coding RNA is filed under the name Cucumis sativus (cucumber). RNAcentral describes it as "long non-coding RNA (CSAT_LNC001481)". The record is from RNAcentral. Lineage: Eukaryota; Viridiplantae; Streptophyta; Magnoliopsida; Cucurbitales; Cucurbitaceae.